GGAGUGAUAGUUCAGUGGUUAGAAUUUCGGCUUGUCACGCCGAUGGUCACGGGUUCGAACCCCGUUCAUUCCG
RNAcentral lists this transfer RNA (73 nucleotides) under Candidatus Nasuia deltocephalincola. Its description in RNAcentral is "Candidatus Nasuia deltocephalinicola tRNA-Asp". It matches the Rfam family "tRNA". From Rfam's summary of the family: Transfer RNA (tRNA) molecules are approximately 80 nucleotides in length. Their secondary structure includes four short double-helical elements and three loops (D, anti-codon, and T loops). The record is from RNAcentral. Lineage: Bacteria; Pseudomonadati; Pseudomonadota; Betaproteobacteria.